This 540-nucleotide long non-coding RNA is filed under the name Astyanax mexicanus (Mexican tetra). RNAcentral describes it as "lncRNA (ENSAMXG00005010898.1)". The record is from RNAcentral. Lineage: Eukaryota; Metazoa; Chordata; Actinopteri; Characiformes; Acestrorhamphidae.
AUGGGACAUCUUAUGCUGUUACUGGUUCUGUGCCACUGUGUCACUCCUACAUCGGGACAAUCCAAUUUAACUCCAGCACAUUUGACUACAGCUAUGGUAACACCGAUCUUUACCACCACAACAGAAGUGCAGAUAAAUCUAUCAUCUCCAUCCAAUGUGGACAGUGUGUCUGCACUGAAAGGAGAGGAAAGCACUGAAUCCACUUUUACCAGUGACUCCACUUCAUCCAGUGUCAACAGUGAGUCUUCAUUUACAGGAGUGAUGAGCACUGAAUCCACUGUUACCAGUAACACCACUUCACCCAGUGUCAACAGUGAAUCUUCAUUUACAGGAGUGACGAGCAGUGAAUCCACUGUUACCAGUGACACCAGUAAGUAGAGACACAGCAAUGGUAUGGUGUUUUUGGGUGAUUGCUUUGAUUUUAGUAAAUGGUUGCUAUGGUGUUGCUAACUGGUUUCACACCUGAUUCUGUCUCAUAGCUUCACCCAGUGUCAACAGUGAAUCUUCAUUUACAGGAGUGACGAGCAGUGAAUCCACUGU